UAUAAAUUCACCACUACCCUUGCUGUUCACACCACAUACAGGCAAACAGCCCAGCCACCGAGCUCAAUGGCCGCUCCAUCUAUGUCUGCCCACAUUCCCAUCUUUGUGAUAGUCCUACUCUCGGCCGUCUCCUGUUCUUAUCCCAGCCUGACCAACCGCAACGGUAGUGAAACUGAUCUCGCCGCGCUUCUGGCUUUGAAAGCGCAGCUCGCCGACCCUCUCCGCAUCCUUGCCGACAACUGGACAACCGGCACAUCUUUCUGCCACUGGGUCGGUGUCUCAUGCAGCCUGCGCCGACAACGUGUCACUGCUCUAUCAUUGGUGGAUACGCGUCUCGUUGGCUCUCUGGCACCUCACAUCGGUAACCUCUCUUUCCUUUCCAUCCUUAACCUCACCCGCAACAAUCUGAUGGGCUCCAUUCCAGUGGAACUUGGUAGGUUACAUCGUCUUAGGUAUCUCGAUCUCAUGAGAAAUAGGUUUUCUGACGCCAUACCUACUACCCUUGGGAACCUCACAAGGCUUGUGCGCCUUCGUCUAGGUUACAAUGAACUCUCGGGCCAGAUCCGUCCUGGGAUGUUAAUCCGUAUGCACAACCUUAAAGAAAUUGUCCUGCACCAAAAUGAAUUAGGUGGCCAAAUACCGUUGUAUUUGUUCAACAAUACACCUUCUUUGGCAGUCAUCCAUCUUGGAAAUAACAGCCUGUCGGGUCCAAUACCAACUGCUCUUGCAUCCCUAUCCAUGCUUGAGGUCUUCAGUGUACAGCAUAAUCAACUCUCCGGUCUACUCCCACAAGCCAUGUUCAACAUGUCUAAGCUUCGAGUAAUGGCAUUCGAAGACUGCGGUAACCUAACUGGAAUGAUUCCGACCAAUCAAAGUUUUAGCCUCCCAAUGUUGCAAUUUUUUACACUAGCUGGGAACAAAUUUGCAGGGCGGUUUCCAAUAGGGUUUGCAUCAUGUCAAUACCUGCAAGCACUUGAUUUGAGUCGUAACUCUUUUGUGGAUGUUGUGCCAACAUGGUUAGCCAAAUUGUCACAACUAAAAAAGCUUUUAUUGGGUUCUAAUAACCUUACCGGAUUCAUCCCAGUUGCUCUUAGCAAUCUCACUAGUCUUAGUAUGCUAGCACUCGACAACGGUAAUCUCAAAGGGGAGAUUCCACAUGAAUUAGGUCUUAUACAUGAACUCUGGUAUCUUAAUCUUGGCCAGAAUCAAUUGACAGGUAAAAUUCCUGAUUCCCUUGGCAACUUAUCAAAAUUAUCAACCCUAGGUUUGUAUCGUAAUCAAUUGUCUGGCCAAGUACCAACAACAUUUGAAAAAAUCGUACAUUUAAACAAGCUUGUGUUGAACCACAAUAAUUUAACGGGAAAUCUAGACUUCUUGUCAGCUCUUUCCAAGUGUAGACAACUCCAAAUCCUUGAUAUGUCGUCUAAUUCUUUCACAGGUAUCCUCCCUGGCUAUGUGGGAAACAUUAGUACACAAUUAAGCAUGUUCAUUGCACAUAGUAACAAGUUAACAGGUGGACUUCCGUUAGCGAUUUCAAACCUAAGCAACAUUUAUCUGAUAGAUAUUAGCAACAACCUAUUCGUCGAGCCAUCCCAGAAUCCAUCAUUAUGUUGGAAAAUCUUGUACAUCUUGAUCUCUCCCACAAUGAUAUGGCAGGCACUAUCCCAACACAAAUGGGUAUGCUCAUGAGUUUAGAACGUUUGUUUCUCCAGGCAAAUAAUUUUUUAGGUUCCAUACCAAGCUUCUUUGGUAAUCUUAGUUUGUUGGAAAUUAUUGACUUGUCCAAUAACCAAUUAAGUUCAACCAUACCCGCGAGCCUUUUACACCUAGAUAAACUUAUCAAAAUAGAUCUUUCUCAUAAUUUAUUUGUUGGUGCACUACGAGUUGAUUUUUCUAGUUUAAGACAAUCAAACUACAUGGACAUUUCUUCCAACUUCUUGAUAGGAAGCAUCCCUGACUCAUUCGGACAAAACAAUAUGUUGAUGAAUCUUAAUUUAUCACAUAAUUGUUUCAAUGGCUCAAUUCCAGGCACACUCGAAAAGCUAAAAAGUUUAGCAUCAUUAGACCUCUCAUUCAAUAAGCUCUCUGGUACCAUUCCCAUAUUCCUUGCCAACCUUACAUAUUUGACUAGCUUGAACCUCUCAUUCAAUAGUCUAGUAGGCCAAAUACCGGAGGGGGGUGUUUUCUCAAACCUCACCCCACAGUCCUUGAUUGGUAAUGUUCGUCUACAGUGUUUACUUCCAGCACUCACAUUAGCUUUUGGCGGCAUUGUCAUACCUUUAUACCUAUGUAUUAGAAAGAAACUUAAGAAGGGAGAUGUCAAAGCUUCUGUUGAUCCAACUGGUGUCAUAGAUCAUCAGAUAGUCUCCUAUCAAGAAAUCAUUCGCGCCACCAAUAAUUUUAGUGAGGAUAACAUGUUGGGAUCUGGAAGCUUUGGAAACGUCUUCAAGGGACAACUGAGCAAUGGCUUGGUGGUCGCGGUAAAAGUUAUUGAUAUGCAGCUCGAGGAGGCCAUCCGAAGCUUUGAUGCGGAGUGUCAAGUGCUUCGAAUGGCGCUACACCGCAACCUGAUAAAGACACUCAACACAUGUUCCAACCUUGACUUCAGAGCAUUAGUGCUUCAGUACAUGCCAAAAGGCAGCUUAGAGAUGAUCCUACACCGGUCUCAAAGUUCAGGUCACCUAGGGUUCCUUGAGUGACUAGGCAUCAUGAUCGAUGUGUCUAUGGCAAUGGAGUAUCUGCACCAUGAGCACUACGAGCUGAUAUUGCACUGUGACUUGAAGCCCAACAAUGUGUUGUUUGACGAUGAGAUGACGGCGCAUGUGGCUGACUUUGGCAUUGCAAGGUUGAUUCUAGAUGACAAUUCCACCAUAUGUGCGAGCAUGCCUGGAACAGUUGGGUACAUGGCACCAGGUUGCAGAUUGGACAAUGGUUUUCUAGCAUCGGUCUUUGAGGUUGGUUUGCGAUGUUCCAGCGACUCUCCAGACCAGAGGAUGACAAUGCGUGACGUGGUCGUAACACUGAAGAAGAUCAAAGCCGAGUACACUAAACUGGUAGCAACUAUGUCAAGUACUGCAGCAUAGUGAACCGAUCUCAUGUGGUAGCUACUAUGUGCUUGCUUAAUUAUGUAUCGUCUAUAUAUAUUCUACAUCUGCACUUAGAAUAACCACACAUAACUUCAGGUAUCGGCAGGACUGAAAUAAGUUGUAUUGGAAUGUAUUAUACAUCAUGCAUGUAUAGCUGUUUAGACACAGUUUUGUUCUCUGGCUGUGAGGAAACAUUCUCGUUCCCUUUCGGUCAUGAGCAAAACUGAACAAGACCAAAGAGAGGACAUAGGAGUAAAUCUUCUUCCUCCCGUUUGUUCCCAAAACUCUGAAUACGAGUUCACAUUUGGCAUGCAUAACUAUAUUUGGUCCUGAUUCUCCUCUGUGUGAGAGCAGCAUUGCGGCUCCCUUGCUAUUGCUCUGACAGUUGCAGACUUUCUGAAAUCUGAACAUGACGAAAGAGAUGAACAAGGGGUCUCUGUUUCUAGCCGCAGAUGCUUGUAAGUAGUCAGCAAAACUGUGUUUGUACUGAUACAGGAAGGCAAUAUUGAUUCAGUUUACCGGGCCUCCGUAGAUAUUUGCAUGGUUCAACAACGUGAUUGUUCAGUGGGUACAUCCGUACAUGAGAUUCAGUGAUAUCAAUCCAGAUUAGUGUGAACUCACUGAACUACUUAUACAUGUGUGUGUGCCGGAGUACAUCUAGUUAAUUCUCUUGCGGUGGGAGAUGAGGUCACGUGCCACAACUUGGAGACGUCUUAAGGCGACUUGGAUUGGAGUACUACUGAACCUGCUGAUGUGAUGAUGGUUUAGGCUGUGCUGUUCUCGCAGUCGCAGGCCCGCUCCGUGGAAGUCAUGGGGCUGCCAGUGGUGGAUGGGAGGCAGAUCGAAGGGUUGGAGGAUGCGGAUGACAUCUUCAUCAACUCGUUCCAUGAACUCGGGGCCCCUUGCCCGUGCCCCCCACAUGUUUGCUGAUUUGCCCACCUGAAAGAUGGAUCAAAGAUGAAAUACGUGAAUUUUCAAGUGUGGAAAGCAAGCCCUGGGCAAGUUGAUGGACUUUGAGUUCAAGUUCCACUAAAUUUCUGUGCUGCCUAACAAGUACCAUAUACCAGUUGGCCUAAUUAUUUUACUUCCUUGUUCGCGUGUAUGAAAUAGUUGAGAGACCUGCUAUGCCAUAAUGCAAUGCAUCCUGAGUGCAUCAUUGAUAUUGCAGCUGUGAAAUGUGAAGUUGGCCCGUACAUUUGGUAUACUUUUGUAAGAACAUAUUCCAUCCUUUUUCCAUUUUGGAAAUACUUCUACUGGUUCGUUUCUAAUUGUCCUCUCAGUUUCUGUUGAUCAGACUUUCACUAUUUCCAGUAUGGGGUUAAGAAAUAUCCAACAAGAAGGUAAGGGAAAUAAGUCCUGUUGCAAGUUCCUCAAAAUCAACAUUUUGUUUCUACACGUUACUUAUGGUGCCCGACAACUAGAUUCCCCUUCUUUGCACUGGCGGAGCUUUGUGAGGGCAAAACCAACCUUUUGUAUCUACACGUUAUUUUCAG
This 4579-nucleotide ribosomal RNA is filed under the name Triticum aestivum (bread wheat). Its description in RNAcentral is "partial small subunit ribosomal RNA". The record is from RNAcentral. Lineage: Eukaryota; Viridiplantae; Streptophyta; Magnoliopsida; Poales; Poaceae.